Drosophila subobscura is the source of this 1097-nucleotide long non-coding RNA. RefSeq lists it as uncharacterized. Lineage: Eukaryota; Metazoa; Arthropoda; Insecta; Diptera; Drosophilidae. The transcript has 4 exons. The record is from RefSeq and is a predicted model, not a curated record.
AGUUUACUACUCUAGUUAACAGUUUUUACUUUGUUUUAACAUAAGAGCGUUGCUUCGUUUGCACAGAAACAGACUCGUGUCAUGUUAAGCGAAACGAAGAGAAACGAAACAAAGUCAAAGAGAGCACGCACUGCUCAUUCUUGCGUCGGGUGCUACUCUGCGUUCGCACUGUGGCUACUGUGGCCCCAAACUUUUUUCAACUUUUGAAUCGAGCGGUCGCUGUGUUGCCUAGUCCGGUCCGUCGUCGAACAAAAGCCCCAAGUACAAUCUUUGGAUAACGUAUAUUUCUUAGCAUCUCGAUUUCGGUUCGGCGGCAAUGCGGUUUCUCUGAUAAAAUACUAUAUAUAAUUUCCCCUCAUGAUCUUGAUCUAUAUACCAUGUACCCGAUUUUUGUGCAAAUAAAACAUAAAUACAAAUAAAAAAAACCAUAAAUAAAAGAUAGCCUUGCAAAAAUCAUUGAAAAAAUAUAUUUAAAACAACCAAUAAAAAAAUCGAGAAAUAAUAUAUUUAUACACACAACGGUUUCACUUUUACGAGUUGUAUACAAAAAAAAUAUAAAUAAUAAUUACAUUUGUUAAAAGGCCACCAGUUGCCUGAAAGAAAAAAGUGUUGGAAAACGCCUAAUAAAUAAUCUACAACAAAAAAUAGUGCAAAUAAAUGUGCAAAAAUCAAUUCAAUCUUGUAAAAAAAAUGUCGUAUAAAACUAAUUAAACCUAAGAGGAUUAACGCAUUUAUUCAUAGAUUUAUAAAUCUAUGGGAUUAUUACACGAUUUUUGGAUCUAACUACUAACACUAAAAAGUGUUUCAUUUACGUUUGUCUCGAACGCGUUUUUCCAUGUCAUGUGUGCAUCAUUCUCCCCCCCACAGUCCUAAAUCCUCGUCCAGUCAGACAUAACAAAAAUCAACGACGAAAAUUACAGCAGAAGCAGCAGCAGCAGGGACAGCAGCAGCAACAAACAGCAAAUCAUCUAACGGGAGCCUCAUCUAACGCUGCAGCUAACAGAUGAGCCCCAACAACAGAUGUCAAUUGCUGCAGCCGAAAAUGCAGGGUAAGCAAAUUUAAUAGUUUUCGAGAGCUAAUGCCGUUAGUGAGUAUU